AGCUCCAAUAGCGUAUAUUAAAGUUGUUGCAGUUAAAAAGCUCGUAGUUGGAUCUCGGGCGCCGGUUUGUGGUACACUUUACUGUUGUUACUGCAUGUCCGGCCCUAAUCAACCGGUUGGUCGUUUAUGCCCUUCACUGGGUGUUUUCGGUAGCCGGUACGUUUACUUUGAGAAAAUUAGAGUGCUUAAAGCAGGCCUUACGCCUGAAUAAUGUUGCAUGGAAUAAUAGAAUAGGACCUCGGUUUUAUUUUGUUGGUUUUGUAGAGCAUUGAGGUAAUGAUUAAUAGGGACAGACGGGGGCAUUCGUAUUGCGGUGUUAGAGGUGAAAUUCUUGGAUCGCCGCAAGACGAACAACUGCGAAAGCAUUUGCCAAGAAUGUUUUCA
RNAcentral lists this ribosomal RNA (384 nucleotides) under uncultured eukaryote. RNAcentral's name for it is "SSU rRNA". It matches the Rfam family "Eukaryotic small subunit ribosomal RNA", at positions 587 to 972 of the family's 1831-position model. The record is from RNAcentral.